This 899-nucleotide ribosomal RNA is filed under the name Caloneis silicula. RNAcentral describes it as "partial 28S ribosomal RNA". It matches the Rfam family "Eukaryotic large subunit ribosomal RNA", at positions 34 to 1015 of the family's 3401-position model. The record is from RNAcentral. Lineage: Eukaryota; Bacillariophyta; Bacillariophyceae; Sellaphorales; Pinnulariaceae.
UUAAGCAUAUAAUUAAGCGGAGGAAAAGAAACUAACCAGGAUUGACCUAGUAAGGGCGACUGAAGCGUCAUGAGCUCAAAUUGUGAAUCAGCGUUUUUGCGCCGAAUUGUGAUCUAGAAAUACUUGCGCUAGCGGCUGGGUUAAGUCCCUUGGAACAGGGCAGCUGAGAGGGUGAGACUCCCGUGUGCCUGGCUUCGUGAGCUUGUAUUAAUGAGUCGAGUUGUUUGGGAUUGCAGCUCUAAGUGGGUGGUAAAUUCCAUCUAAAGCUAAAUACUGGUGGGAAACCGAUAGCGUACAAGUACCGUGAGGGAAAGAUGCAAAGAACUUUGAAAAGAGAGUUAAAAAGUACCUGAAAUUGCUGAAAAGGAAGCGAAGGAAACCAGUGUUAGCUGUGUCAUACUUCCCCGCUCGCUUGCGGUCGGGGCGCUGUGGCCAGCGUUGUCCUGCUUGAUUGGACUUGGCGGAAGCAGUUCCUUGAGAGUUGAUCUUGGUUCUAUGCGCCUGGUUUGAUUGAGACGGACGAAAUGGUUUUCUUUACCCCGUCUUGAAACACGGACCAAGGAGUCUAACAUAUGUGCGAGUACAGGGGCGUCAACCCCCGGUGCGCAAUGAAAGUGACAGUGGCUGGAAUAUUAUUGCACAGUCCGCCGGCCUCAAUCCCUCGGGAGAACGGUCUGAGUGUGAGCAUACAUGUUGGGACCCGAAAGAUGGUGAACUAUGCUUGAGUAGGGUGAAGCCAGGGGAAACUCUGGUGGAGGCUCGUAGCGAUUCUGACGUGCAAAUCGAUCGUCAAACUUGAGUAUAGGGGCGAAAGACUAAUCGAACUAUCUAGUAGCUGGUUCCCUCCGAAAUUUCCCUUAGGAUAGCUGCGAUCGAACCCAAUUUUGUCAGGUAAAGCG